Molecule: long non-coding RNA, 462 nt
Filed under: Marmota monax (woodchuck)
Lineage: Eukaryota; Metazoa; Chordata; Mammalia; Rodentia; Sciuridae
Source: RNAcentral
AUAACUUGGAUUUUGAAAUACUUGCCAUUUUGUUUUAUGGUCUAAAAGAUAGGGGAUAAAACCCAAUCAUGGACAGAUACAACAAUUCAGGGUGGUUAAGUGGUGAUUAAGGAGUUGUAAUAACCAGGAAGGACUCAAGUUCAGACCUGCAUCCACCUCUGGAAGCUCUGGCUGUGGUGAGUGGGCGAUAGAUGGGCUUCAUCCCUGUCCACUGCCCUCUGCUCGGCCACAGACCUUCAGUAGUAUAUUGAGAGUUAAUUAAAUGGUGAGCAGAGAUGAACUGGGAUGGCGUCACCUGGUUGCCGUGUGUGCCGGUGUGUGUGAGCACACAUCUAUGAAAGACAGACUGGGGUAAGACAGCAUGUGGGAGAACAGGUAGAGAGAGGUGUCCCACCCACCCUCAGCCACUGACGUCUUUGGGAACAGUGACUUUGGCGCAUCUAAUUUUUGUGUACUUUUUAC